AGAGUUUGAUCCUGGCUCAGAAUCAACGCUGGCGGCGCGCCUAACACAUGCAAGUCGAACGAGAAAGGGGAGCAAUCCCUGAGUACAGUGGCGUACGGGUGAGUAACACGUGGAUAAUCUACCUCUUGGUGGGGAAUACCGCUGGGAAACCGGCGACAAUACCGCAUAAGCUCGGGAGAGGAAAGCAGCAAUGCGCCGAGAGAGGAGUCCGCGGCCGAUUAGCUAGUUGGCAGGGUAAAAGCCUACCAAGGCGAAGAUCGGUAGCCGGCCUGAGAGGGCACACGGCCACACUGGCACUGAAACACGGGCCAGACUCCUACGGGAGGCAGCAGUGGGGAAUCUUGCACAAUGGGGGAAACCCUGAUGCAGCGACGCCGCGUGAGCGAUGAAGCCCUUCGGGGUGUAAAGCUCUUUCGGCAGGGAAGAUAGUGACGGUACCUGCAGAAGCAGCUGCGGCUAACUACGUGCCAGCAGCCGCGGUAAUACGUAGGCAGCGAGCGUUGUUCGGAGUUACUGGGCGUAAAGGGUGUGUAGGCGGUUGUUUAAGUUUGGUGUGAAAUCUCCCGGCUCAACUGGGAGGGUGCGCCGAAUACUGAAUGACUUCGAGUGCGGGAGAGGAAAGUGGAAUUCCUGGUGUAGCGGUGAAAUGCGUAGAUAUCAGGAGGAACACCGGUGGUGUAGACGGCUUUCUGGACCGUAACUGACGCUGAGACACGAAAGCGUGGGUAGCAAACAGGAUUAGAUACCCUGGUAGUCCACGCCCUAAACGAUGCAUAUUUGGUGUGGGCAGUUCAUUCUGUCCGUGCCGGAGCUAACGCGUUAAAUA
Molecule: ribosomal RNA, 826 nt
Filed under: uncultured bacterium
Lineage: Bacteria
Description: bacterial SSU rRNA
Rfam family: Bacterial small subunit ribosomal RNA
Source: RNAcentral